This 71-nucleotide transfer RNA is filed under the name Rhipicephalus microplus (southern cattle tick). RNAcentral describes it as "tRNA-Gly". It matches the Rfam family "tRNA". Rfam says of the family: Transfer RNA (tRNA) molecules are approximately 80 nucleotides in length. Lineage: Eukaryota; Metazoa; Arthropoda; Arachnida; Ixodida; Ixodidae. The record is from Rfam by way of RNAcentral.
GCGUCGGUGGUUUAGUGGUAGAAUACUCGCCUGCCACGCGGGUGAACCGGGUUCAAUUCCCGGCCGAAGCA